RNAcentral lists this ribosomal RNA (253 nucleotides) under uncultured bacterium. RNAcentral describes it as "partial 16S ribosomal RNA". It matches the Rfam family "Bacterial small subunit ribosomal RNA", at positions 524 to 776 of the family's 1533-position model. The record is from RNAcentral.
UACGUAGGUGGCAAGCGUUGUCCGGAAUUAUUGGGCGUAAAGCGCGCGCAGGUGGUUUCUUAAGUCUGAUGUGAAAGCCCACGGCUCAACCGUGGAGGGUCAUUGGAAACUGGGGAACUUGAGUGCAGGAGAGAAGAGUGGAAUUCCACGUGUAGCGGUGAAAUGCGUAGAGAUGUGGAGGAACACCAGUGGCGAAGGCGGCCAUCUGGACGGAUACUGACGCUGAGACGCGAAAGCGUGGGGAGCAAACAGG